UCGUGUUCGUAGUGUCCCUAUAUCGCAUCGUCAUACCAAUUGCCUCCAUCUCAUCCGAUCGCCUCCAUUUGCAAAUCAAAAUCGAUUUCUCGCCUUUUUUCGAUUUGAAUGCUCUGUUCGAUCUCUUUCCUCCAAAUCAAUCUAGUUUUUUGAAAUCGGAAACACAUCAAUUUAGUGUGUUUUCAGAUCAGGAUGUCAAAGGAGAUCGAGAGACAGAUCGAUACAAAUGAUAGAUCUUAAAGUAUUUUUAUUAUCGAGAUAUGAUGAAGAAGUCGAUGAAAUCGAUCAGUUUUGUACUUGCCUAGGAGGAAGCUGUUUGACUUAUCACAGAUUCAUGUAGAAAUUCAGUAUAAGUAAGUUUUCCGAACUUCCAUGAAAGGAGUUGUGUUUAUUGAUUUGGGUGUAAGAUACAAGAUUAUGGCAGAAGAGAUAUUACAAAGAUAGAUACAGUUUAUUAAAUAUAAUUUAAUGGAGACGAUGGAUGGGGAUGACGGAUUUCAAAAUACCCAUGAACCAAAACGAUGUGAAUCUGCAAAAUUUAAGAUUGAUCAAGUAGUUUUUAUACUGGGGAAAGUUCACAUAAUAUGGAAAAAUUCACAAGUGAUUCACAUAUAAAUCACAUGUGAUUCGCAUGUAAUUACAAGUGAAUCACAUAUGAGUUACAUGCGAUUCAUAUGUAAUUUACAUAUGAAUCACAUGUAAUUUACAUAUGAAUCACAUGUAAUUCACAAGUGAUUCAGAUAUGAAUUACAUGUGAUUCACAUGUAAAUCACAUAUAAUUCACAUGUAAAUCACAAGUGAAUCACAUAUGAGUUACAUGUGAUUCAUAUGUAAUUUACAUAUGAGUCACAUGUAAUUCAUAAUUAAAUCAGAAGUGACUCACAUAUGAAUUACAUGUGAUUCACAUAUAAAUCACAUGUGAUUCACAUAUAAAUCACAUGUGAUUCACAUAUGAAUCACAUGUAAUUAACAAGUGAAUCAAAUAUGAAUUACAUUCAAAUAUAAAUUAUACUAGAUGAUAACCCGCGUUAAACGCGGGGGAACGUAUUAAAAAAAUUACCAAAACAUUUAUAUAUAUUGUAUAAUAAUUAUAAAAGAAAGUUUAUGGCUAUUUUUAUUAUUGAAAGGUGAAGAAGAAACACUGAAAUCGAUAAAUAACUAUAAAUGUUGCAGGACCUCUUUGUAGACAACGUUUUUUGUUUUAUUAGUUGAACGACCUUCAUCGUCACAUAUGAGUACCUUCAAAUUGUUUUUUCUUGUUACACAAGAAACAACUACAUAUAAUUGACUAUAGGUGAAGACAGGUCUACACAUGUAUAAUCCAAUAUUUGAUAAUGAGUAUCUUUGACUUUUGUUAAUGGUCAAAGCAAAACAAACUGCUAUUGGGAAUUACCUACGUUGAAAACAAAAUGGAAUUUUUUUA
Long non-coding RNA from Lactuca sativa (garden lettuce), 1423 nucleotides. RefSeq lists it as uncharacterized. NCBI's taxonomy places the organism in Eukaryota, Viridiplantae, Streptophyta, Magnoliopsida, Asterales, Asteraceae. The record is from RefSeq and is a predicted model, not a curated record.